GAUGAACGCUGGCGGCGUGCCUAACACAUGCAAGUCGAACGGAGAUUACGGACGGAAGUUUUCGGAUGGAAGACUGUAAUUCUUAGUGGCGGACGGGUGAGUAACGCGUGGGCAACCUGCCCUAUACAGGGGGAUAGCAGCUGAAAACGGCUGGUAAGACCGCAUAAGUCGGCGAGACCGCAUGGUUUUGCCGGGAAAUGAGCAAUCAGGUAUAGGAUGGGCCCGCGUCCGAUUAGCCAGUUGGCAGGGUAAAAGCCUACCAAAGCAACGAUCGGUAGCCGGACUGAGAGGUCGGACGGCCACAUUGGGACUGAGACACGGCCCAAACUCCUACGGGAGGCAGCAGUGGGGGAUAUUGCACAAUGGAGGAAACUCUGAUGCAGCGACGCCGCGUGAGUGAAGAAGUAUUUCGGUAUGUAAAGCUCUAUCAGCAGGGAAGAUGAUGACGGUACCUGACUAAGAAGCCCCGGCUAACUACGUG
This 481-nucleotide ribosomal RNA is filed under the name uncultured bacterium. Its description in RNAcentral is "partial 16S ribosomal RNA". It matches the Rfam family "Bacterial small subunit ribosomal RNA", at positions 28 to 507 of the family's 1533-position model. The record is from RNAcentral.